CGAACGCUGGCGGCGUGGAUAAGACAUGCAAGUCGAACGAGAGAAUUGCUAGCUUGCUAAUAAUUCUCUAGUGGCGCACGGGUGAGUAACACGUGAGUAACCUGCCCCCGAGAGCGGGAUAGCCCUGGGAAACUGGGAUUAAUACCGCAUAGUAUCGAAAGAUUAAAGCAGCAAUGCGCUUGGGGAUGGGCUCGCGGCCUAUUAGUUAGUUGGUGAGGUAACGGCUCACCAAGGCGAUGACGGGUAGCCGGUCUGAGAGGAUGUCCGGCCACACUGGAACUGAGACACGGUCCAGACACCUACGGGUGGCAGCAGUCGAGAAUCAUUCACAAUGGGGGAAACCCUGAUGGUGUGACGCCGCGUGGGGGAAUGAAGGUCUUCGGAUUGUAAACCCCUGUCAUGUGGGAGCAAAUUAAAAAGAUAGUACCACAAGAGGAAGAGACGGCUAACUCUGUGCCAGCAGCCGCGGUAAUACAGAGGUCUCAAGCGUUGUUCGGAAUCACUGGGCGUAAAGCGUGCGUAGGCUGUUUCGUAAGUCGUGUGUGAAAGGCGCGGGCUCAACCCGCGGACGGCACAUGAUACUGCGAGACUAGAGUAAUGGAGGGGGAACCGGAAUUCUCGGUGUAGCAGUGAAAUGCGUAGAUAUCGAGAGGAACACUCGUGGUGAAGGCGGGUUCCUGGACAUUAACUGACGCUGAGGCACGAAGGCCAGGGGAGCGAAAGGGAUUAGAUACCCCUGUAGUCCUGGCAGUAAACGGUGCACGCUUGGUGUGCGGGGAAUCGACCCCCUGCGUGCCGGAACUAACGCGUUAAGCGUGCCGCCCUGGGGAGUACGGUCGCAAGAUUAAAACUCAAAGAAAUUGACGGGGACCCGCACAAGCGGUGGAGUAUGUGGCUUAAUUCGAUGCAACGCGAAGAGCCUUACCUGGGCUUGACAUGUAAUGAACAACAUGUGAAAGCAUGCGACUCUUCGGAGGCGUUACACAGGUGCUGCAUGGCCGUCGUCAGCUCGUGUCGUGAGAUGUUUGG
RNAcentral lists this ribosomal RNA (1029 nucleotides) under uncultured bacterium. RNAcentral describes it as "bacterial SSU rRNA". It matches the Rfam family "Bacterial small subunit ribosomal RNA", at positions 30 to 1079 of the family's 1533-position model. The record is from RNAcentral.